GACUUAGUCCUGAUCUUAAAAUCAAUUUUUACUAAACUUAUACAUGCGAGUCUCCGCACCCCGGUGAAACACGCCCUCAGCCUCUAUCCAGAGCUGACUGGAGCCGGUAUCAGGCGCAUCUAUUUGCCAAAGACACCUAACCCCACCACACCCCUAAGGGCCCUUGCAGCAGUGAUUAACAUUGAGCAUGAGCGAAAGCUUGAUUCAAUUACAGUAAAUAGAGCUGGCAAAGCUAGUGCCAGUCGCCUCGGUUAAACUACGUCAGCCCAAAUUGAUUUUUUUCGGCGUAAAGCGUGAUCAAAUUUAAUUUUACAAUAGAGUUAAAACUUAAUUUUAUUUUAACUAAUAGACUCAGUAACGAAAGUCACUCUACCCCCUUCAAUUGACUCACGAAAACUAGGACCCAAACUGAGAUUAGAGACCCCACUAUGCCUAGUCAUAAACUAUUAUUUACACCACAACCGCCAAGGUACUACGAGCUAAGCUUAAAACCUAAAGGACCUGACGGUGCCCCAUGUCCCUAGAGGAGCCUGUCCUAUAAUCGAUAAUCCGCGUUAAACCUCACCAUUUCUAGCUUUUUCAGCUGGUAUACCUCCGUCGUCAGUUAUCCAUUUGAGUGUAACCAAGAUGGCUAAAUGUUUCUCACAAUAUUCUAAGGAGACAACAAAACGUCAGGUCAAGGUGCCGCCCACGAAAUGGAAUAAGGAUGGGCUACACUCUCUAUCUUAGAGAACCAGAAGACACCGUGAAAUCUGGUGCCGAAAGACGGAUUUAGCAGUAAAAAAAUUAUAGAACGAUUUUUUUAACAUUACUGGGUCGCGUACUCACCGCC
Molecule: non-coding RNA, 832 nt
Filed under: Adelophryne baturitensis
Lineage: Eukaryota; Metazoa; Chordata; Amphibia; Anura; Eleutherodactylidae
Source: RNAcentral